CUCAUCAAAACACCAUCUGUCAUCAAAAUACAUCUCGAUUAGGGCUCAACUGUACUCAUCCAUCACUGCACUCAUCGAUUAAGAUUAUACCCAUCUGUACAAUCGCUUAAGAUUUCGAUCUAUUCGUGGGUUCUUCGUACUGGGGAGAAGAUAGAAGAAAAAUGGGUUUCAAUCUAGACAUCGAAAUACCAGAGUUGAAACUAGGGUUCCAUUUGUGGGUUCUUCGAUUUGGGGAUUUAGGGGUUUCUCGGCGAUUCUUGCUGGUUUGCCUUAUUUGCAGAGAAUCUGCAGCAGACCAUCUUCUCCAACCAUUCCAAGGCCUCUGCAUCACUACUUUCAACAAUUGGUAAUUGCAAUUCAAAUCCUCUUAGUAUUGUCGUUGCUAUUCUCUCCCGCAGUUCCCGCCAAGUCCCGUCGCUCAAUCUCUGACAUUGAGACAAGGCAGAAGAAGACCCAAUGUUAUGUUGAUAUUGAGAGGUGCCCAUCUAAAAUAUCCUUCAUCUCUUGGGUAUGAUUUUACUACUUUGAUUAGGAAUUUGGGUAUGAACUGGAGGUGGUAUUUCUUCUGUUUGGUUUAAUCAUGAUUAUGACUUUGUUGGUUUAAACAUCUCCACAGAAUAUCAUGAUUAUGACUUUGUUGGUUUAAUCAUUUGAUACUCAUUAAAGUAUAGCCAUAUAACAAUUAGAUCUAAUGUAGUAUGCUUAUGAUGUUCUCGAUCAGAAACGGAGCAAGGAAUAUUUGAGCAGGUUUUAAAAGGCGAACUCGAUUUCAUAUCAGAACGUUGUCCCAGCAUAUCUGAAAGUGCCAAGGAUUUGGUCAGGAGAAUGCUUGUGAGGGACCCAAAAAAGCGGAUAACAGCCAUGAAGUACUUCGUCUUUGGCUACUCAGAUCUACUUAGGUCUUUGGAAGCAAAUCAAAGCCGCUCUAGCAGGAACUCAUAGCUCUCUCAGCUCCAGCGUUUCUAUCAUCCCAAGUCCCACUAUCCAGGUAACAAUCACUGACAUUUUCUUCAAAAUUCAAUCAUCCCAAAAGGAUUUAUUGUGAUUUUUUUUUUCUGAAAACCCUUUGUUUUUUUUUUUUUUUUUUCCCCUGAAGUUUUCUUAUCAGUUUAAUUGAGCCAUCAUUCUAGUUGCCCGAGUCAGGUAAUUUAAUCUAAGAAUCAUUUCUCUCUGUUUUAAUGCUAGGAACCUAGGAGGAUUUGGUUAUUUAGCCUAGCUAUACUUACUCUCUGAAGCUUGCUGGGUUUUUGGUAUUUUGGGUUUGUUGCUUUGGUUCCUGGGGAAGUGAAGGUUGCUCCAUUACCUAUAGUAGUGCUUCCAUUGUUUAUGAUUCAUUAUACUUGAAGGUAGUUCAAAACUCCAACAUAUUCCAUCCUCAUACAUAUUUAUUUUCUUUUCUUAAACCUAGGUUAAUGUCUUAUGUUUAUGGAACAGGGCAGGAAGAUUACAAUAGACAAAGAUCAUUGAGCGCUAUCAUGGGGCAAAUGUGUGGGGCAAAUGUGUUCUCUCUAAUUAUUCUUGUUGGAACAAAGCUUGGUUAAACUCCACUUCCUUGCUUUACUUUUGCUUUGUAUUACGUUACUUGUGAUUACUUUCUUUACUUUAAUUGCUCUAAAUCAUGGUACUUUUCAAUUCCAGUAUG
Long non-coding RNA from Rosa rugosa (rugosa rose), 1642 nucleotides. RefSeq lists it as uncharacterized. NCBI's taxonomy places the organism in Eukaryota, Viridiplantae, Streptophyta, Magnoliopsida, Rosales, Rosaceae. The record is from RefSeq and is a predicted model, not a curated record. The transcript has 4 exons.